This 593-nucleotide ribosomal RNA is filed under the name Trichoderma harzianum. Its description in RNAcentral is "eukaryotic LSU rRNA". The stretch from base 202 to 355 matches the Rfam family "5.8S ribosomal RNA". The record is from RNAcentral. Lineage: Eukaryota; Fungi; Ascomycota; Sordariomycetes; Hypocreales; Hypocreaceae.
GGAUUACGACUAACUCCAAACCCAAUGUGAACGUUACCAAACUGUUGCCUCGGCGGGAUCUCUGCCCCGGGUGCGUCGCAGCCCCGGACCAAGGCGCCCGCCGGAGGACCAACCAAAACUCUUUUUGUAUACCCCCUCGCGGGUUUUUUUAUAAUCUGAGCCUUCUCGGCGCCUCUCGUAGGCGUUUCGAAAAUGAAUCAAAACUUUCAACAACGGAUCUCUUGGUUCUGGCAUCGAUGAAGAACGCAGCGAAAUGCGAUAAGUAAUGUGAAUUGCAGAAUUCAGUGAAUCAUCGAAUCUUUGAACGCACAUUGCGCCCGCCAGUAUUCUGGCGGGCAUGCCUGUCCGAGCGUCAUUUCAACCCUCGAACCCCUCCGGGGGGUCGGCGUUGGGGAUCGGCCCUGCCUCUUGGCGGUGGCCGUCUCCGAAAUACAGUGGCGGUCUCGCCGCAGCCUCUCCUGCGCAGUAGUUUGCACACUCGCAUCGGGAGCGCGGCGCGUCCACAGCCGUUAAACACCCAACUUCUGAAAUGUUGACCUCGGAUCAGGUAGGAAUACCCGCUGAACUUAAGCAUAUCAUAGGCCCGGGAGGAA